CCAUUCCCUGUGUGUCUACUCUGCCGAAAACGUCGACCUCCUCUCGAACUCGCCCGAUCGCCAAUGCCUUGUCGCGAGACAAGUCUUCAACUUCCUCUGCAUCUCAUCGAAGGUCUCACCGGUGAUGUCAUCCUUCGAAACACUGCUUUGCGCAGGGAAUCUUCGGUCGGGUGAGGAGAUCUGAGUUCUGUGGAUGCUGGAGUGGUAUUGCAUGUUCCAGAGCUCGAUAGUGGCGAGGAUUUGUGCUCCAGACAGCUAUCUCAUCUUCCCGAGCCUAGGGCAGAGCUGAUCUCGUCGGGUUUCCCUUCGCCGAUUGUGAGGGAUUCCAUCAUCAAGGUAGGUGCAGAAUCGACCAAGACCUCCAGCAGUAAACCUCGCCGGUGGGGGUUCUCAGUAGGUGUUUUCCGCCUUAGAAAUUAUUAGCCUUGUAGGGGCUCUGAUUGUGGAUCUGUGGCAGCGGCCAUCACCACAGUGCUUGGGCCGGCAGUAGCACCUCCUAGCAGUGGGUCGACAGAGGUGAGUUAUGGUAGGAUCAAGCUUUGAUGGCCACAGUGCUUGGGCCGGCAGUAGCACCUCCUAGCAGUGGGUCGACAGAGGACUUUGAUCGAGGCGGGUGUCGUGAUAAAGGUGACAUCGGAUUAAGACUACAUUUAAAGACGGAUAAAGGCAAGGAAUGGAUGAAUUAAGGGGAGCAGCAGGAAGGACAAUGAUGAUGUGUGUGGA
This is a long non-coding RNA of Zingiber officinale, 723 nucleotides long. RefSeq lists it as uncharacterized. The transcript has 5 exons. The record is from RefSeq and is a predicted model, not a curated record. Lineage: Eukaryota; Viridiplantae; Streptophyta; Magnoliopsida; Zingiberales; Zingiberaceae.